RNAcentral lists this microRNA precursor (72 nucleotides) under Pan troglodytes (chimpanzee). Its description in RNAcentral is "mir-3689 microRNA precursor family". It matches the Rfam family "mir-3689 microRNA precursor family". The record is from Rfam by way of RNAcentral. Lineage: Eukaryota; Metazoa; Chordata; Mammalia; Primates; Hominidae.
GGCAGGUGUGAUCUCGUGCUUCCUGGGAGGUGUGAUCCCGUGCUUCCUGGGAGGUGUGAUCCCGUGCUUCCU